AGAGUUUGAUCCUGGCUCAGAAUCAACGCUGGCGGCGUGCNUCAGACAUGCAAGUCGAACGUGAAAGUCCCCUUCGGGGGGCAAGUAGAGUGGCGCACGGGUGAGUAACACGUAGGUAAUCUACCUUCGGGUGGGGAAUAACAACCGGAAACGGUUGCUAAUACCGCAUAAUGCAGCGGCACCUAAUGGUGACAGUUGUUAAAGCGGGGGAUCGCAAGAUCUCGCGCCUGAAGAGGAGCCUGCGGCGGAUUAGCUAGUUGGUAGGGUAAUGGCCUACCAAGGCGACGAUCCGUAGCUGGCCUGAGAGGGCGGUCGGCCACACUGACACUGACAUACGGGCCAGACUCCUACGGGAGGCAGCAGUCGGGAAUUUUGGGCAAUGGGCGAAAGCCUGACCCAGCAACGCCGCGUGAAGGAUGAAAUCCUUCGGGAUGUAAACUUCGCAAGAACGGGAAGAAUAAGUUUGUGUUAAUACCACAAGCGAUGACGGUACUGUUUUA
Molecule: ribosomal RNA, 500 nt
Filed under: uncultured bacterium
Lineage: Bacteria
Description: bacterial SSU rRNA
Rfam family: Bacterial small subunit ribosomal RNA
Source: RNAcentral